AUACGGAGGAUCCGAGCGUUAUCCGGAUUUAUUGGGUUUAAAGGGUGCGCAGGCGGCCAUUUAAGUCAGCGGUUAAAUCGUGGGGCUCAACCCCAUUCUGCCGUUGAUACUGGGUGGCUUGAUUGCGGUCGAGGUUGGCGGAAUUCGUUGUGUAGCGGUGAAAUGCAUAGAUAUGACGAAGAACACCGAUUGCGUAGGCAGCUGACCAGACCGCCAAUGACGCUCAUGCACGAAAGUGCGGGGAUCGAACAGGAUUAGAUACCCUGGUAGUCCGCACAGUAAACGAUGAAUACUUGUUUUCGGCGAUAUAAUGUCGGAGGCAAAGCGAAAGCGAUAAGUAUUCCACCUGGGGAGUACGCCGGCAACGGCGAAACUCAAAGGAAUUGACGGGG
RNAcentral lists this ribosomal RNA (392 nucleotides) under uncultured bacterium. Its description in RNAcentral is "partial 16S ribosomal RNA". It matches the Rfam family "Bacterial small subunit ribosomal RNA", at positions 523 to 918 of the family's 1533-position model. The record is from RNAcentral.